GAGGCUCCCGUGUUGAAGUCUCCCGCAACAGCGAUAGGGUUCCCCUUAUCCUCACCUACCAUCCCACCAGCAUCCACAUUCAGAACAUCAUCAGAUGCUAUUUCCGCCACCUCCAGCGAGAUGCCACCACCAGACACACAUUCCUCUCCCCUCCUUUGUCUGCCUUCCGCAGGGACCGUUCCCUCUGGGACAUCCUGGUCCACACCUCCUUCACCCCCAACACAUCCCCACAGCCCUAUGGCACCUUCCCCUGUAACCGGCAAAGGUGCAACACCUGCCCAUUUACCUCCUCCCUCCCCAGUAUCCAAGGGCCCAAACAUACCUUCCAGGUGAAGCAACACUUCACCUGCACUUCCCAGAAUCUAGUCUACUGCAUUCGCUGCUCACAAUGUGGUCUCCUCUACAUUGGGGAAACGAAGUGUCGACUUGGCGACCGCUUCGCAGAACAUCUACGUUCUGCUCGCAAAAAAGACCUUGAACUACCUUUUGCCUGCCACUUUAAUCACCACCCUGCUCCCUGGCCAACAUCUCUGUCUCUGGCUUGCUGCAGUGUUCCAGCGAAGCCCAACGCAAGCUGGAGGAACAACACCUCAUUUUCCGCUUGGGACCCUACAGCCCUCCGGACUCAAUAUUGAGUUCAAUAAUCUUAGAGCCUAAACUCUCCCAUGUCCCAGCCCCCUGUCCCACACACCAGGCCUUGUAACCACAUAGCCUGCCAUCACACACCCCGAGUUGUUUGUCACUAACAGUCCCCAUUAACAACUACUCACUCUCCCAGCCUGAUCGUUAGCAAGUGUUUUGUCUGUUCAAAUAUCUUUCUCUCUCUUUGGGGCUCUAUCCUUUACUCCCUACCCCACCCACCUCUCUAUUUUCUGCAUAUAAACUGACGUUUACCCAGCCAAUAUCAAUUGUGAGCAAGGGUCACCGGACCCGAAACGUUAACUCUGUUUUCCUUCACAGAUGCUGCCAGACCUGCUGAGCUUUUCCAGCAGCUUUGUUUUUGUUCCUGAUUUACAGCAUCUGCAGUUCUUUUGGUUUUUAUUCAGUAAUGGAUGACUAGUCCAGUUACAUUGAGACAACGCCACCCUCUGCUGGGACAGGAAUUUUCAACUUUAGUGAACAAAAGGAGGCCAUGUUCCAGAGAAACUGGAAUUAUCUAUUCAGAAUUUCCAAUCUGAACUGACAGGAAUGACUUUUGUAAAACUGCCUCACAGGAUUUUUGGGAGAAGAUAUAAAUGUGAAAAGAAACAAUCAUCCAUAAAUUUGUGUGUGGAUGAUACUUGCAUUAAUCAAUCAUCCUGGACAGGCAUGAGGACACUAACACCAUGAGGAAAACAUGGAAAUGUGGAGAGUGGGGAAGAGAUUUAAUUACUCAUCCCAGUUUGAAAUUCAUCAAUGCAGUCACGCUCGAGAGAGGCUGUUUACCUGUUGUACAUGUGGGAAGGAAUUCAAAGUGUUAUCCAGCCUCCAGAAACACCUGAGAAGAAACUGUUUAGCUGCUGCUCUUGUGGAAAGAGUUUUGGGCAGUCAGUCAACCUUACUGCACAGCAACAAGUUCACAGUGAUGAGAGGCUGUUUAUCUGUCCUGUGUGAGGGAAGGGAUUUGUUCGUACAUCAAACUUGCUGGGACACCAGUGAGUUCACACUGGAGAGAAAUUGUUUACCUGCUCAGAGCAUGGGAAGAUAUUCACAUAGUCCCACAGCCUGCUGAUAUAUCAAAUUCAUACUGGCAAGAGUGUGGAAAAGGAUUCACUCAGUCUGUUCACCUGCUGACACAUCAGUGAGUUCACACUAAGGAGAGGCCAUUCACCUGCUCUGAGAAUGACAAGAAAUGCAGUCAGUUUUCCCAUAUGCUCAGCUCUUCCAAUACAGUCACAACAUUGCCAUCUACCCAACAAUCUGGAAAAUUGCCAGGAUAUGUCCUGCACACAAAUAGCAGGACAAAUCUAACCCAGCCAUUAAUUUCCCUAACAGUAUACUGUCGAGCAUCAGUAAAGUGAUGGAACACGUCAUCACCAGUGCUAUUGAGUAGCACCUGCUCAGUGACACCCAGUUUGGGUUCUGCCAGGGCCACUCAGCUCCUGACCUCUUUCCAGUCUUGUUUCAAACAUGGACAAAAGAGCUGAAUUCUAGAGCUGUCGUGAAAACACAUUUUGUUGUUUACUCUGGAUAGUAAAGAUUUCUUCAGAGUUCCUGAAUCAGCUAAGCCAUUAGCAACUUCCGAACUCCUGGCCUUCAAAAUUCCAGCCUCGGACCUCACGACUUCUGAACUCCUGGCUUCAGAACUCUUGGCCUUGGAUCUCACGGCCUCCGAGUUGCAGCCUUGGAACUCUCAGCCUCAGCACAGACCCGACGAGGGUCCUCUUGGCGUGUUAUGGCAGUCUGCUGGCCCAGCAUGGCUUCGGCGUGAACUUCCAUCUCCAGGUGAUUCCAGAACAUUCUCCUGGCCUUAUGAACCCUGAGCUGAAGCCAGGUGAUGUCUGGAGUCAAGACCCAGUGCAGACUGGAGGCUGAGUGCCAGCAUGGACUGCGUCGGAAGACCGUUGUUCUGAACUUUUUUCUCCAUUUUAUAAUUUAUUCCUAUAAUCUGCAGUGCUGGACUUUGCUUUUUAACCUCUAUUCUUCCAAAAAACUGUAACUGAGAAAGCUGUACUUGGGGACCUUUGUACUAGGAUGGUGCUGUAAGCGGCGACUUGUGCACUUAAGGGUCACUAGACCCAAAACAUUAGAUCUGAUUUUGCUUCACAGAUGCUGCCAGACUUGUUGAGCUUUUCCGGCAACUUCUGUUUUUGUUUCUAAUUGACAGCAUCCGUAUUUCUGUUGGCUUUUAUUUAGCGUUUCACUGUAUUUAUUUGAGUACAUGGGAUAAUAUAGCUAAUUCUAAUUCUGAUAGAAAAGAUCUGAGUGAUUCAAUGGCCCCUUCCUGUUCCUAUAUUCCAAAUAAACCAGGACCCAAAUACAACUGAUGAACAGAAAGGCAUGGCAGAGCUGGGGAUCAGACACAACAACGGGAAACCAGACCUUGGGGAAAGUCUGGGUAGAAUGUACAGAACAACUGGAGUAGGUCAUUCAGCCCUUUGGGACUGCUCAGCAUUGCAAUUUGAUGCAGACUAUAGGGCAAAUAAUCUCCUCUUUUCAGGCUGGAGUACCUUUCCCCAUGUCCUUACCCCACCCCCACACACCAGGCCUUACACUGGGCCUGGUGAUCACAUGGGCUGGUAUCACAAACAACCCAUUGUCUUUGACUAUUAGUCCCCAUUAGCAGCUGUUUUAUUUCACUCCUUCAUUGCUGAUCAACACUGAUUGCUCAUCCUUGAUUGUUCUUGAGAAGGUAGUGGUGAGCUGUCUUCUUGAACUGUUGGAAGUGAUAUAUUCUCUCCAAAGUAUGUCAUCACAGGACCCUCCUCUUCCAGGACCUCAGCAGUUUCCUAGUGCAAGCACUUCUCUUUGUGAUAAGCCAGAUCAUUGGUGAAACAAAAGCAGAAAUUACUGGAAAAUUUCAGCAGGUUUGGCAGCAUCUGUAGUCAGGGUCUGGAAGUCACUAUCUGAAAGGGGAGUGGAAGCAGAAACCCUGAACACAUUUAAAAGGUGUCUGGAUCUGCAGCUCGAGUGCUGGAACCUGUAGGGCUACAGACACAAUGUCAGAACGUGGGUGAGGCUGGGUAGAUGUUUGUUUUUUGGCCCGCGCAGACACAUUGAGAAGUGUUCUCUUCCUGUGCUGUAAACUUUCUGUAAAUCUAUGAACGGAUUCACACGGAUUAAAAAGAAUACUUUAAA
Molecule: long non-coding RNA, 3777 nt
Organism: Rhincodon typus (whale shark)
Lineage: Eukaryota; Metazoa; Chordata; Chondrichthyes; Orectolobiformes; Rhincodontidae
Exons: 3
Source: RefSeq, a predicted model, not a curated record